CCUGCCCCUAGAGGCGUUGCAGGUGUGGCUGCUGUGUCACAUGUGUGUCAGUAGGUGGCAGAGAGGAAAGAGGCUAUGUCUACGCUCAGUGUUCUGACCUGUGAACAUCUGAAUGAUUAGUAGCCUAACAUU
Small nucleolar RNA from Mus spicilegus (steppe mouse), 132 nucleotides. Ensembl annotates it as predicted gene, 25617. NCBI's taxonomy places the organism in Eukaryota, Metazoa, Chordata, Mammalia, Rodentia, Muridae. The record is from Ensembl.